CUCAGCCAAAAAAAGGACUCCUUCGAUUGUCUCCUACCAUCAGUACGCCACACAUGAUCUAUGAAGAAAUAAUCCUAAUGCCGUCGCUGCUCCAUGAAGGGCUGAUCUUCAUGCACGCACAUAUAUUACUCCUACCAUCAGUACGUCAUGAAUCAUCUAGGGAAAGAGAUACGAGGAUAUCCUAAUUAGGUUUGGUGCCAAUGGGCGGACGCUCUCUCCAGCUAAAUCACCCCUCUAAAGUCACUGCCUCCGGAAAUAUUCUGUGGCACGCGUGCCUACAAAGAGGGAUAUAUUGUGGCCGUGGUUCAUCCCCAUUAAUUAGUAGCAGGUUGCAAGUGAAGCAGGAGGCCACGAUUGACUCACAUUCUUUCUUUCGGGUUUCAGUAUUUCAAUUAGACAUUCUUAAUUCAUGUUAGUUAGAAAACUGAUCAAUCCUGUCACCACUUAAUAUAUAUGGAGCGGAAGAGAUAUCAAGACAGACAUAUCAUGUACAUGUAUCUGUCAUAAAUAGUCCCAUAUAGAGUUGUAAGUAUCACGACCACAUGGACAGUUUUCAGCAAUAUAGUUUGCGCUCAUCUGGAAAAUGGCAAAAAGAAACUUGCAUGUAAAUGAGUCAAUAUUUUAUGAAGAUGUCAGGUUGGUAGUCCAGUUUGUUUAUCUGAUAGAAAAAGAGUUGUCAUUGAUGUUUGUUGAAGAUUAUAUGAUCUGUAAGAACCUGUAUAGACUGUGUAAUUUGAUUGCAGAUAUUAUGCUAAUUGUUUGGUCAGAA
Molecule: long non-coding RNA, 769 nt
Organism: Triticum aestivum (bread wheat)
Lineage: Eukaryota; Viridiplantae; Streptophyta; Magnoliopsida; Poales; Poaceae
Exons: 4
Source: RefSeq, a predicted model, not a curated record